This 8414-nucleotide long non-coding RNA is filed under the name Triticum aestivum (bread wheat). Its description in RNAcentral is "long non-coding RNA (TAES_LNC014129)". Lineage: Eukaryota; Viridiplantae; Streptophyta; Magnoliopsida; Poales; Poaceae. The record is from RNAcentral.
GUGAGGAUGCUGCCGUGGGCGAGGGCGCACCUCAACCCGACCGGGCAGGCGCUCAUCAUCUCCACCAUCGCCGGGAUGGCCUACUUCAUCGUCGCCGACAAGACCAUCCUAUCCAUGGCCAGGAAGCACUCCUUCGACGACGCGCCGGACCACCUCAAGAACACCUCCUUCAACUAAUUAGACUACAAUAGUAGAUCCAUUAGUAGUGCGCAGCGACGGCCUGAAAGAUAGUAUAAUGUUCAGCACCUAUCUGAUAUCAGGCCAAGUUCGCAGACAGUGAGUGGUGUAGUACUGCGCUUCUCUGCCGCUCUGCGUGCAAGCACUUGUCUGAUGAUGUAUCCAGCCAGUAAUCUUGAAUUAAUAAUAACCUGCAUCUGUACAACUCAGUUCACCUGCCAUCACCCAUCUUACAUUUUCUUGUUGGUGGUUAUCGUCUGAAAUGUGCCACUGGCAGAGCAAUACCCAACAUCGCGCAUGCGGGAUCCCCGGAGAGGGCUGCCAGAGGUUAGUAAUGAACAAGAUGACAUGGGAUGAAUCAAAAACUCCAUCAAUCAGAUUCAGUAUAAAAUAUUGAAAUUACUACUCCAUCAAUCAAAUUCAGUAAUGAACAGAAACUGUAAGCAGGAGGAAGUGGAGCAAAUGUCACCUGCGAUUUAUCCUUAUAUCAAACUGUGAAUUUUUAAUCUCAAACUCUGGUGGUCGCACAAGCCAAAAUAUGUAGCUCUCCUUAUGCGUUACCAUCAUGAGGAGAAUAAGAGAAACCACCAAUACCUGUCAGAGUUAGAGUAAAGUUAAUUCUUGGUUUGAUUGAUUUACUUUUCUAGAUGAGACAUAGUUAAUUCUUGUUUGGACGAGAGCUAGCUGCAAUGGAUUGUCGCUUAAUAUUAUCUCUAAAAGUUAACAUUUGUAUGCUGUUACAACUAUGGAAUGAUUAAAUUAAAGCUAUAUUCUGUAAUUGCAUAGUAUUCAUUCGUUCGGAAAUACUUGACGUUGAUUUAGUACAGGUUGUGCAAGAUUACCUAUGAAUUUUAAACUCCUAUUCCAAAAAUAGUAAAUCUACUUCGUCGAUGCUACUCCCUCUGUCCCGAAUUAAUUGUUCUAAAACGGAUAUAAAUGGAUGUAUAUGUAUCUAGAUACAUCCAUUUAUACGACAAAAAAUUCAAAACGAUGGGAGUAUUACUUAAGGAAAGCUACUCUCUCUCUCUCUCUCUCUCUUACAAAAUCAAGAAACUCUAUUGUCCCAAAAAUAUAUUUUCCAUAAAAAAACACUUGCUCUUCACAAUUACUCCCUCCGUCCCAUAAUAUAAGAACGUUUUUUAGAAUUUUCGUCAAAAAGAACCACCUGCCCAGUGAAAUUGUCAAAAAAGACCGCCUACGAGCGAAAAUGUCAAAAAGGACCACCUGCACCGUGGCGGCAGGUGCGCCAGCCGACACGUGGCACCUGCCGCCACGGGAUCUGGCGGCAGCACCUGCCGCAACUGGCUCGACCGGCAGCCUCAGCUGCACAGAAUUUCGGUCGAUGGCACACACAAGAACGGAACGGGCUGGCGAUGUGGCACCUGCCGCCACGCUCCCUGGCGGCAGCUUGUGCUGCUUUUCACGCCAAACGGCACGUCCGUUGGUUCUUAGUGUGGCAGACGCAUUGCUGGCCGUGGUGCCUCUGUCGUUUUGUUUUCUGUGCACCCAUCUCUCUCUCGUUGCCCUGUGCUAUGUGGAGUCAUCUGGAUUAAUCCUAAAUACAGGACUGACCGACUGAGGUGUUUAGUCUAACUCAAUCAACAGAAAAGGCAUCUGGCCAGUGCAUCUCGACUAGCAAAGCGUCUGCCACCUAUGGCCCAACAGAAAAGCAGCACAGGCUGCUGCCAGAGAGCGGGGCGGCAGGUGCCAUGUCGCCAGCCCGUUCCGUUUUCGCAUGCGUCGUCGGUCAAAAUUCUGUGCAGCUGAGGCUGCCGCCUAAGCCGGUGGCGGCAGGUGCUGCCGCCGGAUCCUGUGGCGGCAGGUGCCACGUGUCGGCUGGCGCACCUGCCGCCACGGUGUAGGUGGUCUUUUUUGACAUUUUUGUCCAUGGGUGGUCUUUUUUGACAUUUUCACUGGUCAAGGGGUCCUUUUUGUCAAAAAUUCCGUUUUUUACACUAGUGUAGUGUCAAAAACACUCUUAUAUUAUGGGACGGAGAGAGUACAUCUAAGUUACCUCAAGACGGCAUCACAAAAUACAAUAAACAAGAUGUUUCGCAUAUAGAUUUUUAAAAAUAAAUAAAUAAACCUACCAUACACGCAACUACACCCACGUGGAAAAACCAAAAACACAAAAAUGCUUUCUCCACCUCACAACUAGAGUGGAAGAAAACACCUUCUCUCUUGACAUAUGACCAUGCGACAAUCAUCACCCCACCUAUGAAUAUCAUCAUCAAAAUGUAUACUCGACACGGCAAAAAUAUAUAUAUGACCCACCGGGGUAGAUGGUAUGACAUUUUGGAACAAGUAUUAGCAAAACCUGUUUUAAGAGGAUUUUUAGGAAAACUAGUUCUAAAUUGUUGCUAUGUUAAAGCUGAUUUAUAGGAUACCUUGUUUGGACUUGAAAAGUUCAGAUAGUACUGAUGUAAAUCGAUUUUCGUCUCUGAGUUCCUUUCGUCCGUGAUCUCUCUUCCUCGACGAGCACACAUGCAUGCACGUGAACUCCAUGGUACUAAAAUGCGGCAAGCACGGUGAUGCUCUUGAGCACGCGUUAUCUCUUUUAUGGUGUGGCUGCAAUAGCAUUAGCAACACAUACAGCGAGGGCUCGCCAAAGGCGGAUGUGGCGACGGCGACCAUGGGCAAGGCCCGGCAGCGGUGGCCAUGGAGAGGGUUGACGACCAUGGCCGAGGGCCUGCAGUGCGGAGGGCAGAAGCGGCAACAGCGACUAUGGCCGAGGGCCGGCAGCGACGGAGAGCGGAAGAGGCAACAACGACUAUAAGUACUGCCCAAAUCGUCUAACACCACAGUCGGCUCUCACGGCGUCUCAGGCCGUCACGUACACACAAUAAAUAUCCCCUGAACCACCACAGCUAAUACUGCAUACGUCCCACAUCCCGAGCCAAACGAACGCACGACGAUACAGAGAGUGCGCGAGCUCGUCCACGCCAAGCAAUCUUCGUUAGCAAUAUAAGUUAAUUUAUUCGGAAGCAGCGAUUCGGUGCCCAACCUCUUCUACAGCCGCAAUGAAUAAAGAAUACAAAACAAAUAGUAGAAAAUUCAAAAAAUCUAUUUUUUUUUAUUUUUGCAUCGUGGAUAAUUUGGUAUUGUAAAUUUAGGCUCUGUAAAAAGUUUACCGUUUAUGUAUUUGUUCUGACCCAUUUUCCUUUUUUGCUGAUAGCUACUCAUAAGGCCAAAUAGUAUGAAAUUUGGGGAGCACCGCACACACCAAAUUAUGUACCAUGAUUUUUUUGGGGGAUUUUUAUGGUUUUUUCUUGACCGGGUGCACGUGAUUCUUGGCUCACAAAUCGAUAUUUGAAUUUAUCCCGGCUUUUCUCUCUUUUCCUUGGCGGGCUGGUGGCGAAGUGUCCACAGGGGUAAACCGAAUAGUACUAGCACUAGCAGUCUUUUUUUUUGAGAAAAGAAAACCACUAGCAGUCUCGCGGCGAAAAGUAGCGAACCUCUCGCGGAGUUUGCCGGGUUGGCGGAAAACUGGGAGCGCCAAAACGGAGGGCACACUGCACUCGCCCACAUGCUCUUCUUGGUGUAGUGUUAUCCUACGCACGCUCCCUGCCUCCUCUUAUCCAGUUGCAGUGGAGUGCAGUGCACGUGAGAUGGCUUUUAUACUGUGACCAACGAGCGGCGCCACCUGUGCUCUGCCCGCCCGCCGGUAUAGCCAGCUCGCCUGAACCACCGCCCAGAAGGCCAAAACCACGGUCUCGCUUGCCCUCCCACCGUAUCAAAUCGUCUUCUUGCGCGCACGCCGGUUGCCGGUUUCCUGCAACCUAUAUAAAUCCGGCCAGACCACAUUUCCUAUCCAUCUCACUCACACUGUCACACUGUCUCACUACUACUGCUGAUACUUCACUGCUACUACCAGUUCACUUCCUUGGGAUCUCGGCCAACAUGUCGACGGUGACCCGCGCCUACCUCGACCAGAGGCUCGCCGCCGCCAACCGCUGCUCCAGAGGUACUAACCAACGACGACUGGUUCCGGCCUCAGCCCAGCACUGCUCGUAUAUCCAAUUCAUUGCAGCUUAUGUGUCUGCUGAAACUGAUCUUGAUUAACAUUCCUAUGUUGAUCCGAAACUGCAGAGGCUGCCAUGGCCGGAGCCAAGGCCGCGGCAGUCGCCGCCGUCGCUGCCGCAGUCCCCACCGUAAGUACACGUUUCUCGGCUGGCGCCGCUAUCUUGCAAGCAUCCCCAAGAUACAACAAUCAUGCAUCUCACUGUCUUCUUCCCCCGUGCCUUUCUCUGCAGCUAGCGAGCGUGAGGAUGCUGCCGUGGGCGAGGGCGCACCUCAACCCGACCGGGCAGGCGCUCAUCAUCUCCACCGUCGCCGGGAUGGCCUACUUCAUCGUCGCCGACAAGACCAUCCUCUCCAUGGCCAGAAAGCACUCCUUCGAGGACGCGCCGGACCACCUCAAGAACACCUCCUUCAACUAAUUAGGCUAUAAUCUGCACGCCGGCCUGGAAGUAUUAUAAUGUUCAGCACUUAUUCGAGAUCAGGCGAGCCUUGCAGACAGUCAGUGGUGUAGUAUUGCGCUUCGCUGCGUGCAACUUAUCUGAUGAAGUAAUCAUCAUGUAUCCAGCCAGUAAUCUUGAAUUAAUAAUGACUUGUAUUUGUACAACUCAGGUUUACCCACCAUCAUCCCAUCUUACAUUUCCUUGUUUUUGGUUAUCUUUUGACAUGUGGCGAGUGGCAGAUCCUGCACAAGACCGAAAUAACACCGCAUUCUUCGACCCCCUAUACCCACUUGUUUAAUCUUUUGAUAAGUUUUAAUAGAUGGCGUGGCAAAUAUGGAACGUAUUUAUAAAGAAAAAAGGAAAAUAAUCCUCAGAGCACAUGUGCAUUUUUUUGCGGGUAGAGCACAUGUGCAUUUCAACAAAGGACAGAACGACAAUCCCUCUUGUGCCUGAAGCAGAGGUCAUGUACCUCCACUCCCACCCCCACACCUUAGAAUAAGGGUUUGCGCAUAAGACAAAAAAUGUUUGAGGGAAUAUUGGUUCGGGUUGAAAAUAGUCCUAAUAAAGCAGUCGUGCGCCAACGACCCUAUCCUAGUUUAGAACUCUCUUCACUUUGACCAAAUCUUUGAAGUUCAGAAUGUGCUCCAGUUCCAUCUCCAAUUCCUCCUGGAUGUUGAUCAUCAUCAUCAACUUGGCAUCUUCGUCGUCCGAUUUCGAUGAGUCGAUGAACUCUUUUUGAAUGAAUUCAUCAAGCUCCUAUUCUUUAUACUCCUCAUCCGACGAACCAAUCGUUUUGCUAAAAAAACACUGCUCGAACAUUAUUGAACACAUGGAGGGCAAGAUGUAUGACGAGAGGAGCAAGACAUACUGCGGUGACGAGAAUGGCGGGGAGGAGUUUUGUGGCAGUGAUGCUGGCGCCUUGGGGUCAGGACAAAGGUGAAGCUAGGGAACAGUCGUAGCGGACGAAGGAGAAAAGAGGAGAGGAAAAGGGCAGGUCCGGCUAGGUCAAGGUGAUUUCAUGAAAUUUAUGGUGGGUCAUGUCUGUCGGAUCCAACAUAGUGGGCACGUCCGAGUCUUCCCAUACCCUUUCUAGAUAUGGGCUAGAUAUGAGGGAUGCCGGUCGGCCGGGACGCAUAGGACCGAUUUGAGGGAGCCGACUGGUUUGCUAUUUCUUGUGAAGUCAAUGACUGAAUGGCCCGCCCAGACACACAAUGCCAACAUAAAGUGUCCGGUCGUAGAUGCUCUAACAUUCAACGCUAAGGUCUUGCAUUUGCUGAGGUGCGCAAAGACGACCACUGCGAUGCUAGCGAAUUCCCAACUAAAAUGAGUAUAGCACAAAUAAAUUUAAUUUGAAAAUUUCGAAGGUGUCCAGUUGGUAUUGUCGGUAAAUGUGUUUCCUCCCACUCUUGGUAUUUUUUGGGUAUUGCCAAAAACUUGGUGAGGGUCGAGAUUCGCAACAACGGGAGAUGUACGGUAGUUGUGCAAGCGUUGACCGGGCUAGAUAGUGAAAACCUUUACUUUAUUUCAACAGGUGAUCAACUUUAUACUCCCUCCGUUUCAUUUUAGUCUGCAUAUUAGUUUUGUUUAAAGUCAAACUCUUCGAAGUUUGAUAAAGUUUACAUAAAAUAUUAUUGAUAUUCACAAUACAAAUACAAUAUCAUUAGAUACAUUGUGGAGUAUAUUUUCAUAUGAUAUUUUUUUGAUAUUGUAGAUCUUUAUAAUUUUUGAUAUAAGUAUGGUAAACUUGACUUUGAAGAAAUCUAAUACUCCCUCCGUCACGGUUUAGAAGGCACAGUUAAAUUUGCAUGCGUUUUCACAAUAGACAAGGUUUAGGGCGCAUUGCAUUUAUUUUAGUAGCUAAUUAGUACUCCGUAUACUAUUUCUAUAUGCAUGCGUAGUGUGAAUGCUAUUUUUUAGCCUAUCUCACAACCAAUAGAUAACCACCUAGGUCCCAGAGAAUUUCUAAGCGUACCUUCUAAACCGUGACGGAGGAAGUACGCGAAGUAAAAAGAACCUCUAUCUCAAAAAAACAACAACCACUAUCUCAAAAAAAAAGUAAAAAAAACCUGAGGGAGUAUUUCCCGGCAACAAAAAAGAAACAAUGAAUUUGCAGCGGACCGCUCGCGGAAUUGGAUUGCGGCCGGGUUGGCGGAAAACUGGGAGCGCCCAGACAGAUAGCCAACAGAACAGAGGGCACACUCACUCACACGCUCCUUCUCCUAUGAGGCUAUGAUGCAGCACCUACGCACGCACGAACAGGAACACGCUCCCUGCCAACCCCGAUCGAUCCUGUCCAUGGCCAUUUNNNNNNNNNNNNNNNNNNNNNNNNNNNNNNNNNNNNNNNNNNNNNNNNNNNNNNNNNNNNNNNNNNNNNNNNNNNNNNNNNNNNNNNNNNNNNNNNNNNNNNNNNNNNNNNNNNNNNNNNNNNNNNNNNNNNNNNNNNNNNNNNNNNNNNNNNNNNNNNNNNNNNNNNNNNNNNNNNNNNNNNNNNNNNNNNNNNNNNNNNNNNNNNNNNNNNNNNNNNNNNNNNNNNNNNNNNNNNNNNNNNNNNNNNNNNNNNNNNNNNNNNNNNNNNNNNNNNNNNNNNNNNNNNNNNNNNNNNNNNNNNNNNNNNNNNNNNNNNNNNNNNNNNNNNNNNNNNNNAAUUUCGUUACCUGUAUACUAGUUGCAGUGCAGUGGUCAUCAAAAACUAUCAGCGGCGUGUCACGUGGGAUGAUUUUUAUAUGCGAACCAUCUGUCCUCUGCCGCGUCGAUCGUGUGAAACCCACGGUCUCGCUUCCCACCUUAUCAGCCUUCCUCUCCGCGCGCACGCCGGUUUCGCGGUUUCUCGCAGCCUAGCUAUAAAUCUGGGCGGAGCACCAGCUCUGCCCCAUCCAACCUCACUUCACUACUACUCGCACAGUCGUACUACGCGUGCUAGUUCACUUCCUUCGGAUCAUCUUGCCAGUUGCCACUAAGCUCUGCCCCCGAGAAGAUGUCUACGGUGACCCGCGCCUACCUCGACCAGAGGCUCGCCGCCGUCGCCAAGCGCUGCUCCAGAGGUACUAACCAAAACGACAUGCUGGCCUGUCGGUUCACCAUGCCGGCAAUGCUCUUGCCGCUCUGUUCUACUAGUACAUUGUAGCCAUUAACAUCCUGCACGACGACCCACUCACCCUGCUGAAACUUGGUCGUCAUUAACAUCCCGGUGUUGAUUCGAAACUGCGGAGGCCACCAUGGCGGGAGCCCAGGCCGCGACCAUCGCCACCGUCGCUGCCGCAGUCCCCACCGUGAGUACUUCAUCAGAAGCAACCACUCACCCUGCACGGCAAAUACAUUUCCUGAGAAUACGGUCUGAUGUGGUCCGUGCGAUUUCUCUGCAGCUGGCGAGCGUGAGUAUGUUGCCGUGGGCGAGGGCGCACCUGAACCCCACCGGCCAGGCGCUUAUCAUCUCCACGGUCGCUGGGAUGGCCUACUUCAUCGUCGCCGACAAGACCAUGCUGUCCAUGGCCAGAAAGCACUCCUUCGAGGAUGCGCCAGAGCACCUCAAGAACACCUCCUUCCAGUAGUCAGACUAUAAUAGAUCCAUUAGUAGUGCGUAAUAAGCUGUAUACGCCAGCCCGUACGUGUCUGCUGAAAGAUGGUGUAUAACGUUCAGCACUUAUGCGAGAUCAGGCGAGGCUUGCAGACAGUGAGUGGUGUGGUGUAUUGGUCUUCUCUGCGUGCAAUUAGCACUUAUCUGAUCAAGUAAUCAUCAUGUAUCCAGCCAGCAGUAAUCUUGAAUUAAUAACAACUUGC